Molecule: ribosomal RNA, 253 nt
Filed under: uncultured bacterium
Lineage: Bacteria
Description: partial 16S ribosomal RNA
Rfam family: Bacterial small subunit ribosomal RNA
Source: RNAcentral
UACGUAGGGGGCAAGCGUUGUUCGGAAUUACUGGGCGUAAAGCGCGCGUAGGCGGCUCUUCAAGUCAGGCGUGAAAGCCCCGGGCUUAACUCGGGAACUGCGCUUGAUACUGUCGAGCUAGAGUGUGGAAGGGGCGAUUGGAAUUCCGUGUGUAGCGGUGAAAUGCGUAGAUAUCGAGAGGAACACCUGCGGCGAAGGCGGGUUGCUGGGCUGACACUGACGCUGAUGCGCGAAAGCCAGGGGAGCGAACGGG